CCGCCGGACCUGACUGCUAUCGGAUUGAUACUAAGCCAUGCGAGUCAUUGUAGCAAUACAAGGCAUACGGCUCAGUAACGCGUAGUCAACCUAACCUAUGGACGGGAAUAACCUCGGGAAACUGAGAAUAAUGCCCGAUAGAACAUUAUACCUGGAAUGGUUUAUGUUCCAAAUGAUUUAUCGCCGUAGGAUGGGACUGCGGCCUAUCAGUUUGUUGGUGAGGUAAUGGCCCACCAAGACUAUUACAGGUACGGGCUCUGAGAGGAGUAGCCCGGAGAUGGGUACUGAGACACGGACCCAGGCCCUAUGGGGCGCAGCAGGCGAGAAAACUUUGCAAUGUGCGAAAGCACGACAAGGUUAAUCCGAGUGAUUUCUGCUAAAGAAAUCUUUUGUUAGUCCUAGAAACACUAACGAAUAAGGGGUGGGCAAGUUCUGGUGUCAGCCGCCGCGGUAAAACCAGCACCUCAAGUGGUCAGGAUGAUUAUUGGGCCUAAAGCAUCCGUAGCCGGCUCUGUAAGUUUUCGGUUAAAUCUGUACGCUUAACGUACAGGCCGCCGGGAAUACUGCAAAGCUAGGGAGUGGGAGAAGUAGACGGUACUCGGUAGGAAGUGGUAAAAUGCUUUGAUCUAUCGAUGACCACCUGUGGCGAAGGCGGUCUACUAGAACACGUCCGACGGUGAGGGAUGAAAGCUGGGGGAGCAAACCGGAUUAGAUACCCGGGUAGUCCCAGCUGUAAACUAUGCAAACUCAGUGAUGCAUUGGCUUGUGGCCAAUGCAGUGCUGCAGGGAAGCCGUUAAGUUUGCCGCCUGGGAAGUACGUACGCAAGUAUGAAACUUAAAGGAAUUGGCGGGGGAGCACCACAAGGGGUGAAGCCUGCGGUUCAAUUGGAUUCAACGCCGGA
RNAcentral lists this ribosomal RNA (902 nucleotides) under uncultured archaeon. RNAcentral describes it as "bacterial SSU rRNA". It matches the Rfam family "Archaeal small subunit ribosomal RNA", at positions 14 to 922 of the family's 1478-position model. The record is from RNAcentral.